UCCAGUGGUAGUCAGCUAUCCAGUGCUUGUUUGUGCAUGAGAUUGUGUUACACCACUGGAAGAGAAAAGCACUGCUGUAGCCAUUGCAGUUUCUGUACUGGUGCUGUAAUGCGUGUCAGUAGUGCUGUCCUUCCUGAAAGGGCCUUAACCUGCAAACGUGGUUUUCUGGCACUAGUCUGGAUCUACACAUG
This is a small nucleolar RNA of Xenopus tropicalis (tropical clawed frog), 191 nucleotides long. Its record names the gene SNORA74. It matches the Rfam family "Small nucleolar RNA SNORA74". Rfam says of the family: U19 belongs to the H/ACA class of snoRNAs. snoRNAs bind a number of proteins (including dyskerin, Gar1p and Nop10p in the case of the H/ACA class) to form snoRNP complexes. NCBI's taxonomy places the organism in Eukaryota, Metazoa, Chordata, Amphibia, Anura, Pipidae. The record is from Ensembl.